CGCCGAACUACCGACCCGAAAGAGAAGGUCCCCGCGUCUCAGCCUUAUGUAUCGUACUGAUCGGAACUUUCCAGAAUCUGCGGCAUUUACUCACCGGCGCCUCCACCGGCCCCUCCACGUGCCACUUCCGCUUCCUUCUUCUCGAGCCUUCUCGAAAGAUUCCACCCAAUGGGUGGCUGGUCCCUCUGGGGACGGCCGCCGUUGCCAUGGCAGCAGGACAGCCCUUCCGACGCUAUUGGCUCAAGCUGGCCAAGCUGACACGCCUACGCCCCGCCCGCCCUAGCCUGAGGCUCUUUGCUGUCUUAAUAAAACGGGCAACGAAGAAUGACUCGAAAAAUCGUAAUCUUCGUUAUUUACUAGUGGGCGAUGGUAUCUGACCCUUAGACUCGAAGGAGAAGCUGGGCGAGCGGAGACACACCCCCCUCCUGCAGAGACCCGAGACCCCCGGACUCCAGAGAGAGGAAGAUUCUGAAUGCCAACCAAUAAGCACAUCACCCUUCCCGAAGGAAUACCCAGUGUUUGUUUAGUUAUUAAGGCAAGGUCUUGUGAGGUUAUGACUAUUACAACGCCCUUACUACAGACCUGAAAAGGAAGCUGGCAUACGGAGUUGUACAGAAGUUGGAGCCAGUGGCAUAAGCCAACCCUGAAACCCACCCUACCUCUGGAUUUAAAUUGCGUGAACCAUACGUUUCCUUACUGCUUAGGCCAGCUUGAGUUGGGAGUUUGUUAGUUGCUGACAAAAACAUCCUAAUUUCCUCUGCAAGCACAUGGGAGAAAAAGCAAAGGGACAAAGAGGAUCCUGUGUCUUCUCUAUUCUGAACUAUAAUGGGGGUGGAAGAAGUUAACUACCUGAUGACCAGGCUGUAGCCAUGACAGAAGCCGCCACAAUUCUGAGGACUGGCCUCAAAGAAAUGAGAACAAACUGACCCUGGAACUAAAGACUAACUACAUUUAAAGCAAUCGCGAUGACGCUGGUCAGACCACUGCAUGACUGACUUCAAGAUGCCUGUCAGAGCUGGCUGUGACUGUGCUGUUUCUCCAGGUAGCCCCCUCCCUCUAUGUAUACGGCUCUUGCCCCCUGAUUG
Molecule: long non-coding RNA, 1085 nt
Organism: Balaenoptera acutorostrata (minke whale)
Lineage: Eukaryota; Metazoa; Chordata; Mammalia; Artiodactyla; Balaenopteridae
Exons: 5
Source: RefSeq, a predicted model, not a curated record